GCCUGGGUGGCUCAGUCGGUUGAGCGUCCGACUUCAGCUCAGGUCAUGAUCUCAUGGUUCCUGGGUUCGAGCCCCGCCUCGGGCU
This 85-nucleotide transfer RNA is filed under the name Felis catus (domestic cat). It matches the Rfam family "tRNA". From Rfam's summary of the family: Transfer RNA (tRNA) molecules are approximately 80 nucleotides in length. Their secondary structure includes four short double-helical elements and three loops (D, anti-codon, and T loops). Further hydrogen bonds mediate the characteristic L-shaped molecular structure. tRNAs have two regions of fundamental functional importance: the anti-codon, which is responsible for specific mRNA codon recognition, and the 3' end, to which the tRNAs corresponding amino acid is attached (by aminoacyl-tRNA synthetases). tRNAs cope with the degeneracy of the genetic code in two manners: having more than one tRNA (with a specific anti-codon) for a particular amino acid; and 'wobble' base-pairing, i.e. permitting non-standard base-pairing at the 3rd anti-codon position. The record is from Rfam by way of RNAcentral. Lineage: Eukaryota; Metazoa; Chordata; Mammalia; Carnivora; Felidae.